CACCGCGGUUAUACGAGAGGCCCAAGUUGAUAGCUAUCGGCGUAAAGAGUGGUUAAGAAUGAAGCUUAGACUAAAGCCGAAUAUUCUCAAGACUGUCAUACGUACCCGAGAACAAGAAGUACUUCCACGAAAGUGGCUUUAACCCUUCUGAACCCACGAAAGCUGGGAAA
This 170-nucleotide ribosomal RNA is filed under the name Atherinomorus cf. regina FRLM:40035. Its description in RNAcentral is "partial 12S rRNA". The record is from RNAcentral. Lineage: Eukaryota; Metazoa; Chordata; Actinopteri; Atheriniformes; Atherinidae.